RNAcentral lists this transfer RNA (72 nucleotides) under Planctomycetaceae bacterium. RNAcentral describes it as "tRNA-Glu". It matches the Rfam family "tRNA". Rfam says of the family: Transfer RNA (tRNA) molecules are approximately 80 nucleotides in length. Their secondary structure includes four short double-helical elements and three loops (D, anti-codon, and T loops). The record is from RNAcentral. Lineage: Bacteria; Pseudomonadati; Planctomycetota; Planctomycetia; Planctomycetales; Planctomycetaceae.
GGCCCCGUCGUCUAGCGGUCAGGACACGGCCCUUUCACGGCCGUGGCACGGGUUCGAUUCCCGUCGGGGUCA